This 65-nucleotide non-coding RNA is filed under the name unclassified sequences. The record is from Rfam.
CGCAGAGUGACGGAGCGGGGAGAAAUCCCCACUCCGGUAAUGCGGGAGCCCGGUCACAACCCCGG